Molecule: ribosomal RNA, 393 nt
Filed under: uncultured bacterium
Lineage: Bacteria
Description: partial 16S ribosomal RNA
Rfam family: Bacterial small subunit ribosomal RNA
Source: RNAcentral
AUACGGAGGAUCCGAGCGUUAUCCGGAUUUAUUGGGUUUAAAGGGUGCGCAGGCGGGAGAUUAAGUCGGCGGUGAAAUUUUGCAGCUCAACUGUAAAAGUGCCUUCGAAACUGGUUUCCUUGAGUGUAGAUGAAGUAGGCGGAAUUUGUGGUGUAGCGGGUAAAUGCAUAGAUAUCACGAGGAACUCCGAUUGCGCAGGCAGCUUACUAAACUACUACUGACGCUCAGGCACGAAGGCGUGGGGAUCAAACAGGAUUAGAUACCCUGGUAGUCCACGCAGUAAACGAUGAUUACUAGCUGUUUGCGAUACAAUGUAAGCGGCUGAGCGAAAGCGUUAAGUAAUCCACCUGGGGAGUACGUCGGCAACGGUGAAACUCAAAUGAAUUGGCGGGG